AGGCACUGGAAGUAGAGCAGCAAUGAAGACAGAUGUAGUCCUGGCAUUCCUCAAGCUUAUAGUCUAAUAGGAACGUCUACACUGAGAAAGAAAAAAAAGAAAAGAAGGAAGAAAAGAAGAAACCCUUCUCUGACACUUCAUAGACAAAAAACAAGAGGAGAUGAUUAUUUAAGUUCAUCAGAUAUUUUAAGGAAUAAAGGAAGUUGACGGGUGGAAAUCUGAAGGUGAAUUAAAUAAUUGGAAGUUAUGAUGAAUUGCCAUUCCAUCUGUGUAUUGCCUUUAAUCUCUGGUCUGGCUCUUCUACCUGCCACAUGAAUUGAAAACUGAGUUUUUGGAGCCGGGGAUUUCUGGAAGAUGUGGAAUGGGAGAAAGCCUGAGGUGGUGAUAAGCCAGCAGCUUUCCCUGGUGCAAAGCUGAGCAGGUGCACAGCAUCAGGCCUGAUUUGGGCUGCUCACAUCCAAGCUUCAGACUCUCUUAAGAUGCUUUUCUGGGGAACACAUUCUUCACUCUCCACUCCCUUCAUCUGUACUUCAUUGUAAAAAAGGAAGUUAAACCAAAACGAAAUAAAUGUUAAGAUAGAACCUCAGGAUUCUAACCAUGAUACUUUUGCUUUACUGCUC
RNAcentral lists this long non-coding RNA (620 nucleotides) under Homo sapiens (human). RNAcentral's name for it is "HSALNT0250661". Lineage: Eukaryota; Metazoa; Chordata; Mammalia; Primates; Hominidae. The record is from RNAcentral.